GACGAACGCUGGCGGCGUGCCUAAUACAUGCAAGUCGAGCGAAGUUUUUCUGGUGCUUGCACCGGAAAAACUUAGCGGCGAACGGGUGAGUAACACGUAAAGAACCUGCCUCAUAGACUGGGACAACUAUUGGAAACGAUAGCUAAUACCGGAUAAUAGCAUUAACUGCAUGGUUGAUGUUUAAAAGUUGGUUUUGCUAACACUAUGAGAUGGCUUUGCGGUGCAUUAGCUAGUUGGUGGGGUAAAGGCCUACCAAGGCGACGAUGCAUAGCCGACCUGAGAGGGUGAUCGGCCACACUGGGACUGAGACACGGCCCAGACUCCUACGGGAGGCAGCAGUAGGGAAUCUUCCGCAAUGGGCGAAAGCCUGACGGAGCAACGCCGCGUGAGUGAAGAAGGAUUUCGGUUCGUAAAGCUCUGUUGUUAGGGAAGAAUGAUUGUGUAGUAACUAGACACGGUAGAGACGGUACCUAACCAGAAAGCCACGGCUAACUACGUG
RNAcentral lists this ribosomal RNA (499 nucleotides) under uncultured bacterium. RNAcentral's name for it is "partial 16S ribosomal RNA". It matches the Rfam family "Bacterial small subunit ribosomal RNA", at positions 28 to 507 of the family's 1533-position model. The record is from RNAcentral.